This 401-nucleotide ribosomal RNA is filed under the name uncultured bacterium. RNAcentral's name for it is "bacterial SSU rRNA". It matches the Rfam family "Bacterial small subunit ribosomal RNA", at positions 358 to 774 of the family's 1533-position model. The record is from RNAcentral.
GGAAUAUUGGGCAAUGGGAGAAAUCCUGACCCAGCGACGCCGCGUGAACGAAGAAGGCCUUCGGGUCGUAAAGUUCUUUUAUGCGGGAAGAAACAAAUGACGGUACCGCAUGAAUAAGCCCCGGCUAACUACGUGCCAGCAGCCGCGGUAAUACGUAGGGGGCGAGCGUUGUCCGGAAUUACUGGGCGUAAAGGGCGCGCAGGCUGUUCUGCAAGUCAGCUGUUAAAUGGUACGGCUUAACUGUAUUAUGCAGUUGAAACUACAGGACUGGAGUAAUGGAGAGGCAAGCGGAAUUCCCAGUGUAGCGGUGAAAUGCGUAGAUAUUGGGAAGAACAUCGGUGGCGAAGGCGGCUUGCUGGCCAUAAACUGACGCUGAGGCGCGAAAGCCAGGGUAGCAAACG